Molecule: ribosomal RNA, 449 nt
Filed under: uncultured bacterium
Lineage: Bacteria
Description: partial 16S ribosomal RNA
Rfam family: Bacterial small subunit ribosomal RNA
Source: RNAcentral
AACGAACGCUGGCGGCAUGCCUAACACAUGCAAGUCGAACGAGAUCUUCGGGUCUAGUGGCGCACGGGUGCGUAACGCGUGGGAAUCUGCCCUUCGGUUAGGAAUAACAGUGGGAAACGACUGCUAAUACCGGAUGAUGACGAAAGUCCAAAGAUUUAUCUCCAGAGGAUGAGCCCGCGUAGGAUUAGCUAGUUGGUGUGGUAAAGGCGCACCAAGGCGACGAUCCUUAGCUGGUCUGAGAGGAUGAUCAGCCACACUGGGACUGAGACACGGCCCAGACUCCUACGGGAGGCAGCAGUGGGGAAUAUUGGACAAUGGGCGAAAGCCUGAUCCAGCAAUGCCGCGUGAGUGAUGAAGGCCUUAGGGUUGUAAAGCUCUUUUACCCGGGAUGAUAAUGACAGUACCGGGAGAAUAAGCUCCGGCUAACUCCGUGCCAGCCGCCGCGGUAA